CCCCCCCCGCUGCCCGGGGCCGCAGAUGCUGGCCGGGAGCGGGCAUUCAGGAUUGGGACCCAACCCUGAGCGGUCUUAUCAAGUCCCUUUCCUUGCUGGCCUGCCCCCCAGAGGCAAAGAGGACAUUGAAAAAUGAACCCUCCGGGGAUCCUUGCAAGCCAACCUGUUCUCUUUUACGAAAGCGGUGUUUCCCUCAGACGGCACGGGAUUCCGGUCUUCUGAGGCCCGAGCUGGCCUUUGAGUCCGUUUCAGGGCCUGCUUUUUCUGUAAGUGGAGACCGGGCAAUCUAGGAGGCGGGGGCCACGGGCUUGUGUCGGGUGGUCUUCUGGCUCUGUGGUGCCCUGCCGUCCCCACCUGCUGGGCACCUGGGUGACUGGGCUACCGGUCGGGGAUGUUCACCAUCACAGGACCAGCACAGGGGCUUCUGACCCUGUCUUCAGGAAGUCCUGGGCCAGUUGAGUUUCUGGGGGUCUGUAGCCUUGAGCUGUGUCCUGACGCCUGAAUUCAGGGCCCUGCUCACUCUGGGUUCAGCCCAGAGAAAGGGGAGCAGCAGCCCCUCGAUGUGCUGGGCCUGGGGCCCCCAGCCUGCACCCCUGUGCUCUCCCGGCUCCAGAGGCCUCCCAGCAGCCACCCAGGUGGUAUCCAUUUACCCCGUUCGAAGCUGGCAGUGGUGCAUGGGGACAGGGCCGGGUCUUCACCGAGGCCGUGCCCCUGCGGGACUGUUGUCCCUUUUAGGCCGGUAUCCAUGCAGAUCUUUGUUGUUCUUAGGAAUUAUGUGUCUGUCUUUUCUUUUUAAAAAAAAAUUUAAGGUUUAUUUUAUUGUUUUUUUUUAAAUUUUUUUU
Acinonyx jubatus (cheetah) is the source of this 842-nucleotide long non-coding RNA. RefSeq lists it as uncharacterized. The transcript is spliced from 2 exons. NCBI's taxonomy places the organism in Eukaryota, Metazoa, Chordata, Mammalia, Carnivora, Felidae. The record is from RefSeq and is a predicted model, not a curated record.